ACCUUUCUAGUAUCAACAUUCAGUACAAGUGACUUCCAAUCAUUUAGCCUUGGUUAAAAUCCAAGGUAAAGGUA
RNAcentral lists this transfer RNA (74 nucleotides) under Acipenser stellatus ssp. 'stellatus cyrensis'. RNAcentral describes it as "tRNA-Gly". It matches the Rfam family "tRNA". Rfam says of the family: Transfer RNA (tRNA) molecules are approximately 80 nucleotides in length. Their secondary structure includes four short double-helical elements and three loops (D, anti-codon, and T loops). The record is from RNAcentral. Lineage: Eukaryota; Metazoa; Chordata; Actinopteri; Acipenseriformes; Acipenseridae.